This 484-nucleotide ribosomal RNA is filed under the name uncultured bacterium. RNAcentral's name for it is "partial 16S ribosomal RNA". It matches the Rfam family "Bacterial small subunit ribosomal RNA", at positions 28 to 523 of the family's 1533-position model. The record is from RNAcentral.
GAUGAACGCUGGCGGCGUGCUUAACACAUGCAAGUCGAACGGUGAAGCAGGAGCUUGCUCUUGUGGAUCAGUGGCGAACGGGUGAGUAACACGUGAGCAACCUGCCCCUGACUCUGGGAUAAGCGCUGGAAACGGCGUCUAAUACUGGAUAUGUGAUGUGACCGCAUGGUCGGCAUCUGGAAAGAAUUUCGGUUGGGGAUGGGCUCGCGGCCUAUCAGCUUGUUGGUGAGGUAAUGGCUCACCAAGGCGUCGACGGGUAGCCGGCCUGAGAGGGUGACCGGCCACACUGGGACUGAGACACGGCCCAGACUCCUACGGGAGGCAGCAGUGGGGAAUAUUGCACAAUGGGCGGAAGCCUGAUGCAGCAACGCCGCGUGAGGGAUGACGGCCUUCGGGUUGUAAACCUCUUUUAGUAGGGAAGAAGCGAAAGUGACGGUACCUGCAGAAAAAGCACCGGCUAACUACGUGCCAGCCGCCGCGGUAA